Molecule: ribosomal RNA, 110 nt
Filed under: Enterobacter cloacae
Lineage: Bacteria; Pseudomonadati; Pseudomonadota; Gammaproteobacteria; Enterobacterales; Enterobacteriaceae
Source: RNAcentral
GGCUUUAGCGCGGUGGUCCCACCUGACCCCAUGCCGAACUCAGAAGUGAAACGCCGUAGCGCCGAUGGUAGUGUGGGGUCUCCCCAUGUGAGAGUAGGAAACUGCCAGGC